UCAAGGUUCUAAUUGCGCAGAAGGAUGCGCAGAAUAUUAAUCAGCAAACAUGGAGGAAAUUUAUUGUGCGAAAGUGUUUAACGAGUUCGAAACUUUAAUCGGUUAAUUAGUUAUCGUGAAUUAAGAAAGUUGUUCCGAGUUUUGGUGCUUAAUACGAAAAUAAUUCAUCAAAAUCUACGAUCACAUCAAUCAUACAGAUCGAUCAGUGGGAUCGAAAUGAAGGAGCGAUCGGAAUUUUUACGGUUGCCAAUUAGCCAGUCGGUCGGCCGGAAGAGACGACCCGAUUGUAAUUUCUGAUCCGCCGCCCGAUCUCGAGGAGAGCCGGCGAGCUUCCGGGAUUACGAUCCCCGCUUGGGUUGACAGGGACGUCAUAGAGAGAUACGCCGCUCGAGAUAGGAGGAGGAUACGAGCUGUAGAACUAGCUGUAAAUUAACCACACACCACGGACCCGGGUGCAUUCGUCGUCGCUUCGUGUUCGCUUCGUCCUCCUCGGAUAUUCUCACCGGAUAUUCUUCCGCCGGUUUUCCCGUGUUUAUGCUGUAAAUCCUCUGGAAAACUUUCAACGCAUCGUCCAUACGAUCCUGCGACAUGAGAAACUUUGGACUUUCCGGAAACAUGAAGAGACAAACAACACCGAUCAAUAUUGGUAUACUACAGGCAGAUAAGAAAAAUCUCCAAGAAUUGUAGACAAAUGCUCCGUCCCAAAGAACGAUGGACCACUUUUGAGGAAUGAUGAUCAACGCGAGCGCUAUAAAAUGAAAUGAUACAACUCGUAAAUAAAUGUUUUACAAUUUGUCGUAUAUAUCGUACCUGAGCUCACGAUAUUUCCAAGUGUGAUGCUGAAACCGAUCAGCAAUGGUAUUUUCCCUCUUCCUUUGUCUCCAUAGAAUUCAGAGGAGUACGCCACGAUGGAAGCAUGAGGACCGCUUAUACUGACGUGAGAUAAUUAUUAUUGUUAUCUUUAAUAAUUAAGAUUAAGAUCUCUUUCGAACUUACAUGAAACCGCUAAGGAAUUUAAAGAAUAACAGCAUCCAAAAGUUUUGCGAUAAUCCUGACAAAAUGUUACAUAUACCGUCAGCUAGAUAGCCGAAGAGGAAAACGGUUCUUCUACCUUUGAUAUCCGCUAUAUAACCCCAUA
Molecule: long non-coding RNA, 1138 nt
Organism: Apis dorsata (giant honeybee)
Lineage: Eukaryota; Metazoa; Arthropoda; Insecta; Hymenoptera; Apidae
Exons: 3
Source: RefSeq, a predicted model, not a curated record